Molecule: ribosomal RNA, 376 nt
Filed under: Escherichia coli
Lineage: Bacteria; Pseudomonadati; Pseudomonadota; Gammaproteobacteria; Enterobacterales; Enterobacteriaceae
Description: bacterial SSU rRNA
Rfam family: Bacterial small subunit ribosomal RNA
Source: RNAcentral
AAUUGAAGAGUUUGAUCAUGGCUCAGAUUGAACGCUGGCGGCAGGCCUAACACAUGCAAGUCGAACGGUAACAGGAAGAAGCUUGCUUCUUUGCUGACGAGUGGCGGACGGGUGAGUAAUGUCUGGGAAACUGCCUGAUGGAGGGGGAUAACUACUGGAAACGGUAGCUAAUACCGCAUAACGUCGCAAGACCAAAGAGGGGGACCUUCGGGCCUCUUGCCAUCGGAUGUGCCAGAUGGGAUUAGCUAGUAGGUGGGGUAACGGCUCACCUAGGCGACGAUCCCUAGCUGGUCUGAGAGGAUGACCAGCCACACUGGAACUGAGACACGGUCCAGACUCCUACGGGAGGCAGCAGUGGGGAAUAUUGCACAAUGGG